UGCCAGGACCAUAAAGAACAUGAUGAACUGACUGACCUCAUGCAAGUCACCCAAAACGAGGAUCAACUAAAUUAUUCAAACUGAACUGGAAAUAUGAGUGCUCACCAGCCAGCUGGGAGGCCCCACUGGAGAUGCUGGAAACACAGGGUCUCCUCAUACCAGCAAAUGGGGCAAUAAGAAGGCACACAAGUUGAACAGUAAUUGAGCAGGUACCUCUCACGAAAUACUCAAUUGGAAGAAGUUUGUAAUCCUCCUCCACCAAGGCAGAAUGGACAGUAAGAGAAAGGUCUUCCUCUUCUGUUGGUUCACCCACCAAUGGCCACCGUGGCCAGCAUGCUGUGGCUGGCGCACAGUGCUGAUCCGAAGCCAGGAGCCAGGUGCUUCUCCUGGUCUCCCAUGCGAGUGCAGGGCCCAAGCACUUGGGCCAUCCUCUACUGCACCCCCGGGCCACAGCAGAGAGCUGGACUGGAAGAGGAGCAACCAGGACAGAAUCCACUGCCCCGACCAGGACUAGAACUUGGUGUGCCGGUGCCGCAGGCAGAAGAUUGGCCUAUUGAGCUGCGGCACCAGCCUAUUAAUUGUAUUUUAAUUAUAUGCAUAUACACACAUAUUACAUACAUACAAAUACAUCAUUGACACAUACAGACCCAGACAUUUGUCAGGAUAUUUUGAAUGUUCAGAAGGUUUUUAAUUUAUAACAUUUCAUAGCUUCAUUUUAUGAAUAGUCUUAAUUAUGUGUUUAUAUGAGAUUUUCUGACCUAUUUGUGACCUAUUUGUCUCUUAAGACUGAUCCAUCAAAUGAAGUUAAAAUUUGAAAAAUGUAAUGUCACUGAAGGUAGCUGGGCUUAGACAUCAUAGAACAUUAUUCUUGGGUAUGUCAUUUUUUUUGUUAUUGUGCAGAGACCUGAGGUUUUGCUGCUGCUGUUCAUGACAUAGACUAUCAGAUUCAUUUUACAGUAGGCUGCACACUGCAAACAACCCCUGAGAUAUACUCCCUUUCCUCGUCUGAGCCAGUGACAUGAGCUGCCUCAGUGGAAUCUGUCGUGGUUGGUUAUGAGUGACACAUAGAAAACAAAGGGUUUUGCCUAACACUGGGAAAAUGUGGAAGACGCUACUUGUUCAUAGCUCUGUGCAUGCUUGACUGAUGACACUGGUUCUGUUUCUUUGACGUGGCAAGAGCAUUUGAAGCAAGCAUAUGUGAAGCUAAGCCUGGGGAUAGGAAUUCCUGGCAGCUGAGGAAAGGGAGGUGUAGUUUGCCAAUGCCAUCUGCUUAAUUUUCCUAAUAAUCUAACACCUGCCAGGGAGAUACUUCUUGUAUCCCAAAAUGGUUGAACUGUAGAAAUACCAACAAGUAACUUGCAAAGCUCUUCCCUCUUGUUACUAAGAGUGGCUUUCCAACUUGCCUCUACUCUAAAAUGAUGGCGAUGUUAGUAUCAUUCAGCAACAUCACCACCACCACCACGAUGCCCGUUUCCUGACAGCAUUCCUGGCACCGUGUUUGAAAUAGGAGAGUGAUUAAACAACUGGAUUCUGAGAGAAGUACACCUUUCACCUGAUAGUAAUUUCCACUGUUUACCGCACUUCCAUAAGAGGCUGUCUGGAUAAAGACCUGAUAUCCUUUGGCUUUUCUGUUUUCUUGGAACCAGCUUUGAAAUUCACCUCUGGGGUGAGAGUUUACAAGUGUUCUUUCUUUUUUUUUUAACUUUUAUUUAAUGAAUAUAAAUUUCCAAAGUACAGAAUAUGGAUUACAAUGGCUUCCCCCCCAUAACGUCCCUCCCACACGCAACCCUCCCCUUUCACACUCCCUCUCCCCUUCCAUUCACAUCAAGAUUCAUUUUCGAUUCUCUUUAUAUACAGAAGAUCAGUUUAGCAUACAUUAAGUAAGGAUUUCAACAGUUUGCUCCCACACAGAAACAUAAAGUGAAAAAUACUGUUUGAGUACUAGUUAUAGCAUUAAA
Oryctolagus cuniculus (rabbit) is the source of this 1958-nucleotide non-coding RNA. The record is from RefSeq and is a predicted model, not a curated record. NCBI's taxonomy places the organism in Eukaryota, Metazoa, Chordata, Mammalia, Lagomorpha, Leporidae.